UACGGAGGGUGCAAGCGUUGUUCGGAUUUAUUGGGCGUAAAGCGCGUGUAGGCGGUUUCUUAAGUCUGAUGUGAAAGCCCUGGGCUCGACCCAGGAAGUGCAUUGGAUACUGGGAGACUUGAAUACGGGAGAGGGUAGUGGAAUUCCUAGUGUAGGAGUGAAAUCCGUAGAUAUUAGGAGGAACACCGGUGGCGAAGGCGGCUACCUGGACCGAUAUUGACGCUGAGACGCAAAAGCGUGGGGAGCAAACAGG
This 253-nucleotide ribosomal RNA is filed under the name uncultured bacterium. RNAcentral's name for it is "partial 16S ribosomal RNA". It matches the Rfam family "Bacterial small subunit ribosomal RNA", at positions 524 to 776 of the family's 1533-position model. The record is from RNAcentral.